This 492-nucleotide long non-coding RNA is filed under the name Bos taurus (domestic cattle). RNAcentral's name for it is "long non-coding RNA NONBTAT011813". The record is from RNAcentral. Lineage: Eukaryota; Metazoa; Chordata; Mammalia; Artiodactyla; Bovidae.
AAUGACAUGUUUAGAAUAGUGUCUUAUAUGGCCAAGGGACACUGAAAUGACUCCAGCAUCUUUUCAACUCAAGAAACCUACACCCAACACGCAGUGUUCAACUCAAAUGCUCUUCUUCCCUGAAUAUUCCCUGACCCACUUGGCCCCGACCACUUCUUCCCUGAGCUUUCUCAGCCCAUUACUAAGAUCUUCUUAUAGUUUUACUCUUAUCCUUUCGCGCAUUGUUUUUUCUGUGUCCAUCUUUGUGUGUCCAAGAUUGUUGAGAAUAUCUGACACCCAGUAGGCAUGGGAUAAGUGUAUAUUGAUUGACAAGCCUUGGUAUAUGGACUCAAGCUUGAGUGACUGGUAGGAAUGGAGAGCGGGAGAGAGGUGUCAAAGAGAUUAUAAAGGAAAACCUCUUAAAACUUAAGGGGAAAAGCACAAGAAGGGAAGAAUGUUCUAAAGAUGAUUUUUAAAGUGCCACUGAUUGAAUUUAGGAGAAAUACAAGUGAA